AUUGAACGCUGGCGGCAGGCUUAACACAUGCAAGUCGAGCGGGGUGAUGGUGCUCGCACUAUCACUUAGCGGCGGACGGGUGAGUAAUGCUUAGGAAUCUGCCUAUUAGUGGGGGACAACAUCUCGAAAGGGAUGCUAAUACCGCAUACGUCCUACGGGAGAAAGCAGGGGAUCACUUGUGACCUUGCGCUAAUAGAUGAGCCUAAGUCGGAUUAGCUAGUUGGUGGGGUAAAGGCCUACCAAGGCGACGAUCUGUAGCGGGACUGAGAGGAUGAUCCGCCACACUGGGACUGAGACACGGCCCAGACUCCUACGGGAGGCAGCAGCGGGGAAUAUUGGACAAUGGGGGGAACCCUGAUCCAGCCAUGCCGCGUGUGUGAAGAAGGCCUUAUGGUUGUAAAGCACUUUAAGCGAGGAGGAGGCUCUUUUGGUUAAUACCCAAGAUGAGUGGACGUUACUCGCAGAAUAAGCACCGGCUAACUCUGUGCCAGCCGCCGUAGUAA
Molecule: ribosomal RNA, 503 nt
Filed under: uncultured bacterium
Lineage: Bacteria
Description: partial 16S ribosomal RNA
Rfam family: Bacterial small subunit ribosomal RNA
Source: RNAcentral